Molecule: long non-coding RNA, 781 nt
Organism: Olea europaea var. sylvestris
Lineage: Eukaryota; Viridiplantae; Streptophyta; Magnoliopsida; Lamiales; Oleaceae
Exons: 2
Source: RefSeq, a predicted model, not a curated record
AACUACUUAAUAUAAAAGAAUAAUAUGUAUGUCUAGCUAAAGUAGCGCGUAGUUUGGUGUUUGGUAGUGCUGGUUUGGUUUGUGCGUUGUAGCUAAGCACUUUCUCAAGUCAUGGCAUUUCCAGUUAAAUCCCUUGAGUGUAUCUAAUCAUGAUGAUUGUCGUGACAGGGUGAGAAACUCACUGAUGAGGAGGAUGCUGAAGCUGCUUCCGAUUCUCAUGUCCAACCAGAUUUGUUUGAAGAGAACUUCAAAGAACUCAAAAAAUGGGUGGAUGUAAAAUCCUCCAGAUACGGCACACUCUUAGUUACACACGAGAGACGUAAAGGAAGGCUUGGAACUGCACUAAAGGUGUUAAACGACAUGAUCCAAGAUGAACAUCCUCCAAAAAGGAAUCUAUAUGAAAUGAAGAUUUCAUUGCUAGAGCAAAUAGGAUGGUACCAUUUGGUGUCUUACGAGAAACUAUGGAUGAACGUUCGAUUCCCAGCGAAUCUACCUCUCUUUUAGGGUUUUUAUUCAUCAUACAAGGCCCUUUGCAAUUCAAAAAGUACCGUACUUUCUUGUAUGGCAGGGUUUUGUAGUAAUUCUUAGGAAGACUGAAGCUGUCUGUGUGUCGUUUUACAUGUCAUGGGUUUACAAUAAAUGAGGUUGUAUCCAAUGUGACGUUGUUUACAUACUUCCUCGUACAGGAAAAUUGAAUAUUAUUUGAUAGGGUUAAGGAUCGGAAAGAAACUUAUGACAUGUUUGGUAGAGAAGAUUGAAUAAUAUCUCGUGCUUUAUAUUU